Neopelma chrysocephalum (saffron-crested tyrant-manakin) is the source of this 4473-nucleotide long non-coding RNA. RefSeq lists it as uncharacterized. The record is from RefSeq and is a predicted model, not a curated record. The transcript is spliced from 9 exons. Lineage: Eukaryota; Metazoa; Chordata; Aves; Passeriformes; Pipridae.
UUCUUGCCUACAGCCCACGAAUGCAGCCUCCCACUGCUGCCCAGGCUGGCCCUACUGGGUGCUGGCAUCCCAGUGCCAUGGUGACCCACAGACACACAGGUAACCCGCUGGCACGGCUCACGUGCUCUGGGCACACGAGCUGGGAACUGCUUUUCUUCACACGCUGCAUCAGUGUACGAAGGGAAGGCUCGGUGUUAAUCCCCCUGGGAGCUGCCACAGGAGCUGCCUGGUGGGACUGUGGCACCGCAAUUAGAAACAGGUAAUUAGUGAGGGAGCACAGUGGCUCUGCUCUGGCACCCUGGGAGCACAUGUUCCCUUGGGAAGGGAGCAGAGCUGAGCCUGGGCACGAGCUGUGGUUUGGGUGGAGGCAGGAGCUGCAGGACUGGCUGUGUACACUGCUGGUUCCUGUUCCUGGCCCAAGCAGAGCACGGGUUAGUGACCAAGGCAGGAGUCCCAGGAGAUGCCCUGUGGGAGAGGGACAGGGCCCUGUGUGUGCUGUGUCCUGCUGCCACUGUCCUUCCCCUCCUCUCGGAGAGGCUCCAUUGUGCUCCUGCCCAACAAACACACAGGAUGGAGCCGUGGCAGCAGCAGUGAGGUGCCACAGCAGUGCCUCAGAGCAGCACAGCUCUCCUCAGAAAGAGGGAAGCAUCCAAAGGCAGGGACAGCCACGGCUCCGUGAACAGCAAACCGAGUGACCUAAUUCAGCUCUGGGGGCGGCCUCAGCUCCAUGGCGGCCGUGCCCGAGCUGACUCAUCACUUCCAGCCUGGCAGAGAUUGGAGCUUUCAGGCCCUAAGGAUUUUGCUCCUUCCUUAUUAAUUUUAAAUUGAUUAAAGCGAAUUUUCAAAAUACCAGGAGACACUUGCUGAAAGGAAUGGUUAUUAAAAAAAAAGAAGGAAAUAGUUGGUCUGUGGGAGUUAACUCUGUGCUUAAUGACCUCUGGCUCCUGCAGCUGUAAACACCCAUUGCAGCUUGGAGGAGUCUUGUGUCAGCUGUUCUGUCAUGGCAGAUCAGCAAGGACUGGAUUAAUCCAUCUUUAUUGUAAAAAAGUGAGAAUUAUAAACGUCCUUGCUUAUACCCAGCACACCCCCCUGGUGUCCUCAUCCACGGCAGGGUGGUAUUGCAGGCUGCUGCUCUCAGCUACAUGACUUUGUCCAGAAGCUGAGAUCUCCCAGAGAAGUGCAUCCCUGCAGGAGCAUCCUGUUCUUUCCAGCAUUGCUCAGUGCCUGACAAAGCUCCUCAUGUGGUCCCCAGCCCCCCUGGGGUGGCCUGUGGGCUGUCUGUGCUAGAAGGGGCUGCCAGUCCCUGCCUGGCUUCCCGCAGAGGCUGCCAUGGCCAGCAUGGGCAGGACAGAUGGAUGGAGGAUCCUUUCCCUCACUGUCAGAGGGCAGUUCAGAUGAGCUUCUCCCCUGGGCCAUUCUCACCUGCUGUGGCUGCCCCAGCUCUGCCAGGGGGAACUCCCUUACACUUGGAGCAGGAGGAUUUCUGUCCUGAGUGGUUUGUGGUGUGAUUACACAACUCAGGCUCAUGCAGAUAGCUGAGGCUCUUCCCUUCUGCCUGCCCUCUUUCCCACUGGUGGGAGGUGGAUGCAGCCCAGCAGCCCAGGAGUGCCCAUGGACCCACCUAAGGACCCUUCUGUGCUGUGGUGGGCUACAGAGAUAUAGGAACCCCCUUCCUGCAGGCUGCAGAAGCGAGGUCAGAGCUCUCUCCCCAUGGGUGUUUCUCCCUGAGAGCUCAUCCUGGGGCUACCCCCUGUCAGCAUCCCACCUGCUGCUCUGGAGGGGCCGGGGCUGUGCCUGCAGGGUGCACAGGGUCUGGUUCACUGGCAGGGAUGGUGCUCCGUUACUGUGAACGUCAGGGCCAGCUCAGGCAGCAUAAACAGUAGAUUAAUUGAUAAAGCUUUUUGUCCUGCAAGCAAACACCAACAAAUUAAAAAUUAAAAAAAAAAAAAAAAAAGGAAGGUGGAAAACUCUGUGGUACUUCAGAGAAGACAGAGCAGGAAUCCAAGAGGAGUGAAGGAGCAGAAUAUGGAAUUCACCUGGAGAUAAUGAAGCAGCAGAAGUUGUCAGCCCCUUUUAUGUCUGUCUAAAAAAAGAGGCCUUUUAUUUCAGUGAAACCGAAGAAUGAAAAUUAAAAAGCUAAACAAAGCAGAAAAUUUCUGCAAAAAUAAUUUGACACUUGCUAUUGAUUGAAGGAAUGGAGCAGCAGAGUUUAACAAGUUGCAUAAAAGCACCUUUGGUCUGCUUUAAAAAUCUCUCUAAAAGAAACAGUUAUAUCACUCAUAUGCUGUUCACCUGUCUCUUCUCAUCUCUAGAUCUCAAAAGCAGAACUGCUCUAACUCCACGUGCCAAAGCAGAACCUCCUUCUGCUGCCUCUGCCUUGCCCUCAGCAUCCAGCCUUGCCCAUGGUGCAGUACAGCAGAUAUUGCUGUGAGAGCCUGGCUGGUGAGACAGAGUUCCUUCCUGCUCACUCCUGGAGCAUCAGCUGUGUCAGCUGGGGGGGCUGGAGGAGCCCAACUCUUUCCCCAUCCUCUGAGACCAGGAAAUUGAAAGUAAGGAAAUCUCAUCAGGAACAACACCCACGUGCAGGUACCAAGCCCCUGCUGUACCUGAAUUCAAUUGAUGCAAAGAAGCUGAAUUUAAAAUAUGCUACAGAACAAAGCAAGGCCAGCUGGAGGAUUUCCUGCAGGAGAAAGGAAAAGCCUGGGGAGGCAGUGGGCCGGAAUGCUGAGCUGUGACACAUUCCUGCUGGCUGAUUAUGAACCUUUCUGCAGCAAGAUUUGAAACAGCCAGAUUCCAAAUUAAAUCAAAGUCCCUAGGAUUCACUUGUGAUUUCCAGUAAGGCUUCUUUAAGCACAGCUCUGCUGCACACAAGAAAAUCACACCACAGGCUGGAGUGAGCCAGGAAAUCUCGUCCCCAAGUGGCUUUAUGCUCUUCAAAGAUACCUGAAGGAGCCAGAGAAGGUUUCAGGGAACUUCACGUGCCAGGCAGGAGCCGUGAGCCCGAGGUCCCUCCUGUGUGAUGCCCCAGGUGUGUCCCGACAGCAUCGCUGGCCGGUGCUGCCAGAGUCACUUCAGCUGGGAUCUGUGGUACUGCUGAGUCCCUGGCUGCCGAGAGCAGGGAAGGAGAGCUCCAUCUACUGCUGUGCGGGGAGAAGGCAAAAAUAACCGGGCUGGCUUUCCUCUGCUGCACAGAAAGCUGCUGGAUACCAGCAACUCCAGGUACAGACUUCUCAGGAUUUUGCCUGCUAUCCCAGACUAACACUUCAGAAGUGCCACCAAGGAAACUUCUCUGCAAAUCUCUUUCUAUUUCAAAACUUCUUAACUGAAUAAUGUGAGUGGCCAGAUACAUUCCUGCCUGUUGAAACUCACAACAGAAGAAUGUUCAAAAGGAAAAGGAAAAUAUUUGGAAAGUAUUUUUUUUACUAUCACACAGACCUGGAAAUUGUAUCAACUGAGGAGAUACACCAGUUGUUCCUUCAGCUACAUUUUUUGUGCUGGCAACCUGCCCUGCAGUUUCUGGGGCCAGCAAACCUGUGGGACAGAUGCACUCACUGUGUGACUGAGGAUGCUCUCCAGCCCUGCUGUGCCAGCCCUGGGAGCGGGGCCAGUGUGGGGUCUGCUGUUUUCUGGUUGGAGUGCUUUUUAUAGCCUGUAUUAUAAGGAAACCCACACGUGGGGAAAGGAAGAAGGAAUUAAAUGGAAAACAAACCACAGGCCCAGCCGUUAAUCCUUCUGGGGAAAGCAGGGCCUGGGCUGCAUUCUUCAGCAUCCAACCCACUGUGGGACACACCAGUCUGAGCUGGGUCUCUGGGCAGCCAUCGUUCUGGGGGAUCUGCUGCUGCUCUCCCACUGGAGCCUGUUCCUUUGUGCUCUUUCCAUGAGGAGCAGCCACAAUCAUGAGUUAAACGUUGCUGAUAUUAAAGAGGACUCCUGGCAUCUGCCCCGAAUGGAGAAACCAACGUGUCAUUCAUUGAAGAUAUCCAUGCUCGUGCAGGGAACACGUGUGUGCCAGGUGGUGCCAGUUCAGGAUUCCCAGAGGGAGCAGGAGAGGUCCAUCCCUGCUGAAUGCCAGAGCCACCCCAGUCCCAGGGUCCCCCCAGGGUCCUCACUCCUCUCCCUGCAGCCUGGCAGAGAUGCCCCUGGAGCUCUCCCAGCUGAGGCUGCACUGUGACCCCAGACUGCCAAGGAAAGGACAAAACUGAUGUAUCUUGGGGGAGGGAGGGAGGGGUGUGGGCUGAGAUCUGGUGUCUCAAGACCAUUCUUUAGACAGUGCUGAUCCAGACUCUCUUAUUCCCAGCAUUUUUCAAAUUGUGUUAUUUCCUACAGUUUGCAACCACACACGGUAGUCAGAGGUUAUGACACGUAGCUGACUUUAAAGGACACUGUCUGUGACAAAUGCUACGUACAUGUUCUAUAAAUGUUGUUAUACCCUGUAUUUUAUAGCUUUAGGCUGCAAUAAAUGAGGACAAACUA